RNAcentral lists this ribosomal RNA (405 nucleotides) under uncultured bacterium. RNAcentral describes it as "bacterial SSU rRNA". It matches the Rfam family "Bacterial small subunit ribosomal RNA", at positions 355 to 776 of the family's 1533-position model. The record is from RNAcentral.
CAAGGAAUAUUGCGCAAUGGGCGAAAGCCUGACGCAGCGACACCGCGUGGGGGAUGAAGGCCUUCGGGUCGUAAACCCCUUUUCUCAGGGAGGAAUAAUGACAGUACCUGAGGAAUAAGCAACAGCUAACUACGUGCCAGCAGCUGCGGUAAUACGUAGAUUGCGAGCGUUAUCCGGAUUUACUGGGCGUAAAGAGGGCGUAGGCGGCUUAUCAAGUCGAGUGUAAAAUCUCCCGGCUUAACUGGGAGGGACCAUACGAUACUGAUAGGCUAGAGGACAAUGGAGGGAGGUAGAAUUCCCGGUGUAGUGGUGAAAUGCGUAGAUAUCGGGAGGAAUACCAGUGGCGAAGGCGGCCUCCCAUAUUGUUUCUGACGCUGUUGCCCGAAAGUGUGGGGAGCAAACAGG